Molecule: small nucleolar RNA, 142 nt
Organism: Schistocerca nitens (vagrant locust)
Lineage: Eukaryota; Metazoa; Arthropoda; Insecta; Orthoptera; Acrididae
Product: small nucleolar RNA SNORD90
Exons: 1
Source: RefSeq, a predicted model, not a curated record
AAAGUACUAUUUGAAAUGUCUUCUGACUGAGGUCAUAGGAGAGUGAAGUGUGCUGACUAUUUGCAUCACUCUUUUAUGGAUAUGCAAAUAGUCAGCACACUUCACUCUCCUAUGACCUCAGUCAGAAGACAUUUCAAAUAGU